UACGGAGGGGGCUAGCGUUGUUCGGAAUUACUGGGCGUAAAGCGCACGUAGGCGGGACAGAAAGUCAGAGGUGAAAUCCCAGGGCUCAACCUUGGAACUGCCUUUGAAACUCCUGUUCUUGAGGUCGAGAGAGGUGAGUGGAAUUCCGGGUGUAGAGGUGAAAUUCGUAGAUAUUCGGAGGAACACCAGUGGCGAAGGCGGCUCACUGGCUCGAUACUGACGCUGAGGUGCGAAAGCGUGGGGAGCAAACAGG
RNAcentral lists this ribosomal RNA (253 nucleotides) under uncultured bacterium. Its description in RNAcentral is "partial 16S ribosomal RNA". It matches the Rfam family "Bacterial small subunit ribosomal RNA", at positions 524 to 776 of the family's 1533-position model. The record is from RNAcentral.